AAGUUACAGUUGCAGUUCAGUCUCAUCUUUUCGUAAGGCUUUAACUACUCUUUAAUAUGGAUCUUUCGUUACAAUCCAUGGCAAUAUUUUUGUUGGAAGUUUUGCUGGCAGCUCAACUUAUUAACUGCGCACCGCUUGGUGGACUUCCCCUAGACGGCGCACUCAAUGCUUUGAAGAUAGGUUAAUCACUUCAAAGUAAGAAAAAUGUAUUUUAUCGAUUAUAUAAGCAGAAAAUAAACUUAUUUGGCCUAAGCGUGAAUU
Bradysia coprophila is the source of this 261-nucleotide long non-coding RNA. RefSeq lists it as uncharacterized. NCBI's taxonomy places the organism in Eukaryota, Metazoa, Arthropoda, Insecta, Diptera, Sciaridae. The record is from RefSeq and is a predicted model, not a curated record.